CUUUUCCUCCUUGUUUAUAUGGGCAACUGUUAAUCUUACUGGAGGAAACAAACAUAUCUGUCCUCUGAGAAGGUCCACCCAACAGCCAAUGAAAAGAGAUGCAGAGACCCAAACCACACAUUAGAUGGAGCUGCGAAACAUGAACUCUCUCAGGGUUCAGCUCUACUGUUCAAAUGCUCUGCCGUACCUUCCUCUUGCCAUAUUCUGUGCCACAAUGGCCAAGGAGUCUAAUUCAUAGAAAUGUAAGACAUCCCCCUCACUAAACUAUUUCUUUAGUAAAUUGCUUUGGUAAUUGCAUCACCAAUCAAUAGAAAUUGACUACAGAUAAGGCAUUGCAAAGAUUACUGUUGAUGGGUCACUCUCAGAAGAACGCACUGAAAUACCAAGAUCAACAUGGUCAAGUUGAGAAUAAAUGGA
Long non-coding RNA from Mastomys coucha (southern multimammate mouse), 417 nucleotides. RefSeq lists it as uncharacterized. The transcript is spliced from 3 exons. Lineage: Eukaryota; Metazoa; Chordata; Mammalia; Rodentia; Muridae. The record is from RefSeq and is a predicted model, not a curated record.